UCCUCUUGUUUUUGGGGUUUCUUCUCGGAACCUAGACUCUAGGGCUGCUUCCUCUUGUUCUUGGGACUUAUUUGGGUUUCUUCUCGGAACCUAGACUCUAGGGCUUCCUUCGUCGUCUUCUCUCGAGCCUCUCGUCUCUCCCCCGUUGCUACGGUUUCUGUUGAUCGAACUUUCUUUUGAUCCAAGGUUUAGAUUUCUUGGGGUAUUUUCUUAAAUCUUUCAGGGUUUUGAACCAGCGUAAUAAUACAAGAGGAAGCAAGAAACAGCACCAAAAAGGUUCGUGCUUUUUACAGAUUUUAAUAUGUCCUUCGCUGUUUUGUCGAAUCGAAGCUAUUAACUAAUGCGAUUCCCUCAUCCGCAGUUUCUUUCUCUAGGAAAGAUUAUACAUACUUAAGUUGUCUUCUUCUCUUGUGCUUGUUUGUUAUUCCGAACCUUUCUCCAC
RNAcentral lists this long non-coding RNA (442 nucleotides) under Musa acuminata (dwarf banana). RNAcentral's name for it is "long non-coding RNA (MACU_LNC005548)". Lineage: Eukaryota; Viridiplantae; Streptophyta; Magnoliopsida; Zingiberales; Musaceae. The record is from RNAcentral.